CAGAUAAACAGCAAGGGAUAACAGAAGUGUAGGAUUGAUUGUGAGCUUCUCCCCCCAAACUCAGAAAAACUGCCAGGAAAAGUUUGCUGACCUGUACUUUAAUAUAUAAAAACCCAUUCACAUUUGCACAUUCAUUUGGUGGUCACCACAGGCCUAUGGUAACAUCUCCGUUUUCAGAAGCUCAGAAAAGUAAGCUGCUUGCUCAAGAAUGGACGGCUUCAAGGUGGCAGAGCUGGAAGUUUCUAACUCACUCACCUCAUACUCAGACCUGCACUGUUUUUCAAGACAGUCAAUAUUUCAGGCCAUCUACUGAUUGGAUGAGGCCCACCAGCAUUCUGAAAGACAAGGAAUCUGAGACCUGGCUGGGAGAAGAGGACUUGCCUAAAGUUAUCCCACACAGCAAAUUAGUUGGAAAACCAGGAUAGUUGAGUAAAUAUCCUGGAGCCCAGCCAAGUAAUGAAGCCAGAAUUCAGAAAGCUGUUUUGGCUAGAUCUUGGAUUUUUACAAUAAAGGGUCUGUAAGGGAUAUUUGUGAAAAAUGUUGACACUUGACGGCUGUCCUGAUUCAUUCAGCUACCUAGGUUAUCUCUGCCUCUCUUUGACUUGUGUUUUGUCUUUUAAGAUGGCAGUCUUGCUCUUUUGCCUGGGCUGGUCUUGAACUCCUGGGCUCAAGCAGUUUUCCUGCUUUAGCCUCCUGAGUAGCUGGGGCUACAGGAGGACAUCACUGUGCCCAGCUCUCUCCGUAUCUUUGACUAGGUUAUUUUACAACCCCAUACGAUAGAAAUGAAGUUAUAGAAAACUGAUAGGAAUACAAAUAAUUAUUAUCCAUGGAAAUGCAAAUUGGAUCUAAUGGAAUGAAACUGAUUUUUUUUCCAGCAGAUAGUGACCACCUUUGUAUCCUUUUGUAAAUUCAUUUCAGCAUUCCAUAUUUGACUAAAAAUGUGUGACACUCCCAAUUUGCUUUUGAAUUCAUUGUAAUAUCUACCAAUUCCCUCAUUAAUUAAUGAGUUAAAUAAAGCCUUUGGCAUGUAUUUAUUUUGUAUCUAUAGGAGAGUCAUGAGUAUAUCUUCUUUUAAAAGGUAUUCUUCAGUAGGUCUUAGGGUGCACAAUACUUACAUCUUAUUUUCUCAUUCUACACUGUUCCCACACCUCACCCAGAAUAAAUGUAAUCUCCUGUGAGCUUCUGAACAUCAUGAAGAAUAACAGCUCAUUUUGUAAAGUCAUUUAGUAUUCG
RNAcentral lists this long non-coding RNA (1233 nucleotides) under Homo sapiens (human). Its description in RNAcentral is "HSALNT0065969". The record is from RNAcentral. Lineage: Eukaryota; Metazoa; Chordata; Mammalia; Primates; Hominidae.